UACGUAGGGGGGCAAGCGUUGUCCGGAUUUAUUGGGCGUAAAGAGCGUGUAGGCGGCCAGACAGGUCAGCUGUGAAAACUCGAGGCUCAACCUCGAGACGUCGGUUGAAACCGUCUGGCUAGAGUCCGGAAGAGGAGAGUGGAAUUCCCGGUGUAGCGGUGAAAUGCGCAGAUAUCGGGAAGAACACCCGUGGCGAAGGCGGCUCUCUGGGACGGUACUGACGCUGAGACGCGAAAGCGUGGGGAGCGAACAGG
RNAcentral lists this ribosomal RNA (254 nucleotides) under uncultured bacterium. Its description in RNAcentral is "partial 16S ribosomal RNA". It matches the Rfam family "Bacterial small subunit ribosomal RNA", at positions 524 to 776 of the family's 1533-position model. The record is from RNAcentral.